Molecule: non-coding RNA, 3325 nt
Organism: Anas platyrhynchos (mallard)
Lineage: Eukaryota; Metazoa; Chordata; Aves; Anseriformes; Anatidae
Source: RefSeq, a predicted model, not a curated record
GUUACAAAAUCUUCACUAUGAAUUGAGACAUUUUAUUCCAAAAACAUUACAAUUUCCAUACAUAAUUACCUUUGCUUUCAAGCUACCUCCAAUAAGAAUAACCACUGAGUUGUAGACUCUCAAGAUUAACGGAAGAUACACAGUUUCUCAUUCUAACGAGUUGGUACAUCCUCCAAUUACUGUCUCUAAUUCAUAUGACACAUUGCUCUGUUAUACAAAGCAUCACUGUGCAACAGGGUACAGAACAUGUAUUCGGAUUUUUGAUGCCUGAAGAGGAGAGAGAGAGAACAAUUGGGAUUCUGAUUCAGAUGUUCGUGGAAAACAUGCAAGAGGUAAAAUAUUGACUGAAAGAAUUUUUCAAACCCUCCAGGAACUCAGAAUCAUUGAUAGAGAGGAAACUUCAUGAGAAAUUUCAUGAGGUAAUGAGAUACACAAGAAAAAAAUUAGUUACUUUUUUUCCUUUUUUAUUUUUUUUUUCCUUUUGGCUUACUUAGGCUUUGAAAUCAAAACACAUUUAAGACAUGAUUCCUAUGGAUUAAAAUAAACUCCUUCUCCCUUGCCUCCACUCCAUUCUUAAGGGAAUAGUAGGACACUUUAUCUUGUCACUAUCCCACCUAUAGCUUAUAUCUGUAUUUAGAUGAUAUCUGUUAGACUUGUGUGAUGAUCAGCACUAGAUAUAAGCCAACUGCAUUUUUUUUCAAUCUUCCAGCAGUAAAUAUUAAAUCCUCGAUGAUUUCAAAUUUAAAGAUGACACAAAUGCUGACUGAUUGAUGGUAAACACCAGAAAGAAGAGGACAGUCAUGAGAAGUGGUCUGGAUUAUCUGGAAGAGGCCUGGACAAUCUCCAUUUUAUCAUUCUGGGAGGAGGGAUGGACCAAUAAUAAGAAGCCUAGAUUCAACAUUGCUUCAGACUACAUGAUCCAGAGGAUACCCAGAUGCUUCACGUAAGAAAUGCAGAAGCCAUCUCCUUUUGUGCCAACUGCCUCAUCAAGCCUCCUGCACAGUGCACAGGGCUGCCCUGGGUGGACCAUCUCCCUCUGACUGUUCUCCUGCUGCUGGGCUGGAGACCCCUUCCUGUGGGAUGCUGCCAUCAGGUCUGGGAUUCCCAGCAGUUCUUCUGACUCUGCAUUCACUCAGGAGCUGCUUGCAAUUGCCGAAAGGUCUCUACUGAAAAUUUAAUUUAGAAUGGCACUUGAAGAAGUACAUUUUUUUCCCUCUCUAUUCAGUGAAGCAUAUUAAGAGCAUACUUAUCUCAAGCAAGUGAUUAAGGCCUGCUGCCUGUGAAGCUACAAGUGGGUGCUCUUGUUCUGUAGUGAAUCAGGUUCUGUAGUGAAUUAGGUUCUUGAUUCCCAAUAGAGGUGAUAGCCUUGCAUCACCUCAUUUAUGCACAUUCAGAUAGUUUUACCCAGAAAAGAUUUUUAUCUUUUUAAUUUCAUAUCUUUGUCUCUAAGUAUUUUCUGAACUUUGUUUCAAAAACAAAUAUGGAAUAAAAAAAAGUUCGUGCAACCAUUGAAAAUUGUAAAUUCAUCUCAAACCUCUUACAGGUUUCAGAUGUGGCACUCAAGUCUGCUGUAGAAAUUCCUGUUUUAGGAAUUUCUAAAAUAAACAGUCAAAACAAUCCUCAGUUGUGCUGCAGCUUGCUUGCCUAAAUAAAUGCUAAGCUUUCUCUUCAGUUUCAACAUACAUAUCCUACGUGCUUACCAUAUAUCAUAGACUGUAUUACAGAUUCACAGCUUGUACUCUCUUCCUACCCCAUAUGGCAUCAUAUAGAGCUCUUAAGUGGUUAAAGUAAACAGAUUUUUUUGUCUAUAGACAGAGUAAACAACAAAUGACAAAAUGGUCUAAUCAUUUUAAAGUCAUUAGUUUUAACUCUGUAUCAAUCAUUCCAUAUUGCUGGGCUAAUAAUCCCUAAUUAUGAGCUGCUCCUGGUGUUAGCACUCUUUUCCAUUUAGAUGCAGAUGUUCCCUGACCUUCUGCUUCCUGUGGAAAGGGAGAUAACUCCUUCUUAUAAAAGUCAAAGGAAGGAGAAAGUCUGUCCUUGUGCACAGAGCACCAUGUGGCAGGCCAUUUUCACCCUACCAUGCCGUGUCAUGUUCCCCCGAAAAGAGCAAAUACUUUGACAAGGCUGGACAGUGCUGAGGGCAAGCUGGGCAGAGCACAAUUCCUAGCUUUAAUUAGCAAUUGUAGGCACAUCACUGUUAAUGCAAUGUUGAUUGUGAUGGUAUUUCAGUAAUUUGCUGGAUAUCUUUCUGACAGUUUAUACAAGCCAGUGGCUGAAUGGUCAGCAUGAGUGCAUUGCAGUGGAACAGAGGAAAGGCCAAAUGUCUUUUGCCUCAGGCCUUGAAAUAGCUGGAACUGAAUUUAUAUUUUAAAUCCAAUUGAAAUGCAUUGAAGAAUAGUAUUUGUUACAUAUAGAUAUUGGUAUAUCAUGGCUUGAUAACAUACAGAAUUUAAUCUACCUCUACCUACAACUUUUCUGAGACCUAAUGUAGAAACUAAUCGCUUGCAGCAGACAAGUGAAAAGCAAAGAAGGAUUUCCAUGUUGUCAGAGAUUCUGCUGUACUUCAUCCUCUCUUCUCUACAGGUGGGCUCAUAAUCUAGCCUAGGUGUGAAUGAUAUGAUGGAUGCUGAUUUCUCUGUGUCACCUCCACAGGAGCCAGCUAAGGUCAGGAAUCUCUAAAGCUGCCUUUGAACAGUGCUGCUAUGGGGAGGAUUGCCAGUCCUGUCAGAGCUGUACCUUUGUGCUCCACAGACAGCACUGCAUGGGAUCUCUAGAUCUAUCUUCUCCAUUGGCUCUUGUGGUGAAUUCUUACCACCUAUUUCACAUAUUUGGCAUUAUCAUGUUUGGAUCUAUGUGAAUUAUUGCUUUGUAGGAGUUAUCAUGGCUAGCUAUGCAUUGAUUGUAUUUCAUAAUUUUCUCUCAUUCCCAAAGGGAAUAAAAUGUAUAUUGUUUUUAUUUGUUCCACGAGAGAGAAGCUGACUUUCUCAGGUUAAUUUUAGUAGUUUUUGUUUUGUUUUGUUUUUAAUUUUUAAAUGUACACAAAAAUAUAUUAAUUAUGAACUUUUUCCCUCUGGAGAUGCUGAAAGAAAUGGGGUAUUCUCAUAUCAAACUGUGUUGGUUCUUUUCCUUUCAAAAUGGAAUCCUGUUUAAAUCAACAUUUUUUACCAAGAAAAAAGAAUCACAGAACAGCAUUUUCUGCUAAAUGCUUUGAUGAGAAUUUUGUGGCAAGGUAAAAGGAAGAAUUGGAAAGAUAGUCCAGUUGUGACAGCCAUUUAACAGUGUAGAAUGGCUUGUCACCAGGGUGCUGACAAAUGGUCAUGCUUUA